This 90-nucleotide transfer RNA is filed under the name Coleochaete orbicularis. RNAcentral describes it as "tRNA-Ser". It matches the Rfam family "tRNA". Rfam says of the family: Transfer RNA (tRNA) molecules are approximately 80 nucleotides in length. Their secondary structure includes four short double-helical elements and three loops (D, anti-codon, and T loops). Further hydrogen bonds mediate the characteristic L-shaped molecular structure. tRNAs have two regions of fundamental functional importance: the anti-codon, which is responsible for specific mRNA codon recognition, and the 3' end, to which the tRNAs corresponding amino acid is attached (by aminoacyl-tRNA synthetases). tRNAs cope with the degeneracy of the genetic code in two manners: having more than one tRNA (with a specific anti-codon) for a particular amino acid; and 'wobble' base-pairing, i.e. permitting non-standard base-pairing at the 3rd anti-codon position. Lineage: Eukaryota; Viridiplantae; Streptophyta; Coleochaetophyceae; Coleochaetales; Coleochaetaceae. The record is from RNAcentral. RNAcentral also lists the same sequence under 1 other name.
GGAAAGAUGAUCGAGUGGCUUAUGAUGUAGCAUUGGAAAUGCUAUGUAGACUAAAAAUGUUUACCGAGGGUUCGAAUCCCUCUCUUUCCU